CUCUCAUGAUACUUCUUCCCACAGGAGGACAAGGAGGAAGCUACACUCAGGCUGCAACAGCCACAGUCCCAGUGCUCUGAAGUGUAUCUCAGACCUUAAAGGGUAUUAGACAGCCUUCCGUGGGCCUGAGUGUUACAGGAUUUCUUUUCGCCCAUAUUGUGUGGCUUUAUGAUCCCUGGUUUAAACCUUCACACCUGCAAGAAUGGCCCAUAUCCAAAAGACCAGAAACAACAAGUGCUGGCAAGGAUGAAAAAAGGGGACAGUCGUGCACUGUUUUUGGAUAAAGACGGAGCCAGCCCUUAUGGAAACAGUACGGAGGUUUCUUAAAGAGUGAAUGUGGUUCUGCCAUUGGACCCAGCAAUUCUACACUGAGGAUCUACUCACAGAGGAUAAAUACUCUCCUGUGAAGGGACCUGCACUCCUGUCACCACUGCAGCACUAUUUACAGUAGCCAAGCUAUGGACACCACCUGAAUGCCCCAGACAGCCGCCCUCUCUGUAGUGUCUCUACUCAGCAGUGUUUGAGCAGCCCCAGGAGUCCCUGCACCUCCUGCCUCUGACCUUGAGGGAAACCAGCCCCUCAGCCUGCUUGACAGUGAGGAGGUAAAGGCAAAGUCCUGAGGGGCAGGACCAAUGUGCUAUCCAUAGAAAAGAG
Long non-coding RNA from Talpa occidentalis (Iberian mole), 654 nucleotides. RefSeq lists it as uncharacterized. The transcript has 5 exons. The record is from RefSeq and is a predicted model, not a curated record. Lineage: Eukaryota; Metazoa; Chordata; Mammalia; Eulipotyphla; Talpidae.